UACGUAGGGUGCGAGCGUUGUCCGGAAUUAUUGGGCGUAAAGGGCGCGUAGGCGGUGAGACACGUUCGUUGUGAAAUCGCCCGGCUCAACUGGGCGGGGUCAGCGGAUACGGUCUCACUUGAGCAAGCUAGGGGGCAAUGGAAUUCCCGGUGUAGUGGUGGAAUGCGUAGAUAUCGGGAGGAACACCAGUGGCGAAGGCGGUUGCCUGGGGCUUUGCUGACGCUGAUGCGCGAAAGCGUGGGGAGCGAUCCGG
This 253-nucleotide ribosomal RNA is filed under the name uncultured bacterium. Its description in RNAcentral is "partial 16S ribosomal RNA". It matches the Rfam family "Bacterial small subunit ribosomal RNA", at positions 524 to 776 of the family's 1533-position model. The record is from RNAcentral.